UUUAAUUCGAAGCAACGCGAAGAACCUUACCAAAUCUUGACAUCCUCUGACUCCUCUAGAGAUAGAGUUUUCCCCUUCGGGGGACAGAGUGACAGGUGGUGCAUGGUUGUCGUCAGCUCGUGUCGUGAGAUGUUGGGUUAAGUCCCGCAACGAGCGCAACCCUUAAGCUUAGUUGCCAUCAUUAAGUUGGGCACUCUAAGUUGACUGCCGGUGACAAACCGGAGGAAGGUGGGGAUGACGUCAAAUCAUCAUGCCCCUUAUGAUUUGGGCUACACACGUGCUACAAUGGACAAUACAAAGGGCAGCGAAACCGCGAGGUCAAGCAAAUCCCAUAAAGUUGUUCUCAGUUCGGAUUGUAGUCUGCAACUCGACUAUAUGAAGCUGGAAUCGCUAGUAAUCGUAGAUCAGCAUGCUA
RNAcentral lists this ribosomal RNA (415 nucleotides) under uncultured bacterium. Its description in RNAcentral is "bacterial SSU rRNA". It matches the Rfam family "Bacterial small subunit ribosomal RNA", at positions 945 to 1359 of the family's 1533-position model. The record is from RNAcentral.